Molecule: ribosomal RNA, 446 nt
Filed under: uncultured bacterium
Lineage: Bacteria
Description: bacterial SSU rRNA
Rfam family: Bacterial small subunit ribosomal RNA
Source: RNAcentral
GACGAACGCUGGCGGCGUGCCUAACACAUGCAAGUCGAACGAGGUCCAUCCUUCGGGAGAAGACCUAGUGGCGAACGGGUGAGUAACACGUGAAGAACCUGCCCCGAAGACCGGGAUAACCCUCCGAAAGGAGAGCUAAUACCGGAUACCCCCACCGAACCGCAUGGUUUGGUGAGGAAAUGGAUUCCGCUUCGGGAGGGCUUCGCGGCCUAUCAGCUAGUUGGUGGGGUAACGGCCACCAAGGCAUCGACGGGUAGCUGGUCUGAGAGGACGAUCAGCCACACUGGGACUGAGACACGGCCCAGACUCCUACGGGAGGCAGCAGUGGGGAAUCUUGCGCAAUGGGCGAAAGCCUGACGCAGCAACGCCGCGUGGGGGAUGAAAGGGCUCUCGGGUUGGUAAACCCCUUUACAGCAGGACGGAAUCAAGAACGGUACCUGCAGAAG